Molecule: ribosomal RNA, 303 nt
Filed under: Triticum aestivum (bread wheat)
Lineage: Eukaryota; Viridiplantae; Streptophyta; Magnoliopsida; Poales; Poaceae
Description: partial small subunit ribosomal RNA
Source: RNAcentral
AUGUGGACGGACUCGAGCACCCAUCUAUCGCUUCUCCACUGUAAUCAGUGCUCGCUAAACGCAGCCAUGCGAGGUGCCAGCUUCUGUGCUUGCUUCUUCUCCGCCUUGCUACUUCUGCAUUUUUGCUAUCUGACAGCAAUGCCUUUCGGUGAUAGAGCAUCAAGAGAGGAGAUGCUCGUUACAAGGAAGCUUCUGCAAAGCAAUGUGCUCGCAAGGUCGGAGCAUCAACAGGCCUUCCAUGCAGCAGCAGAAGGAAGCGACAAGCAGACGCCGGGCACCAAGUCCAAUCCCAUACAGAAUUAG